UUCCAGUUCCAAUAGCGUAUAUUAAAGUUGUUGCAGUUAAAAAGCUCGUAGUUGAACUUCAGACCUGGCUGGGUGGUCCGCUUAACGGCGUGUACUGCUUGGCUGGGCCUUACUUCUUGGUGAGCCGGCGUGCCCUUUAUUGGUGUGCGUCGGGGAACCAGGACUUUUACCUUGAGAAAAUUAGAGUGUUCAAAGCAGGCCUAUGCCUGAAUACAUUAGCAUGGAAUAAUAGAAUAGGACGUGCGGUUCUAUUUUGUUGGUUUCUAGAGUCGCCGUAAUGAUUAAUAGGGACAGUUGGGGGCAUUGGUAUUGAGUCGUUAGAGGUGAAAUUCUUGGAUCGUCGCAAGACGGACAGAAGCGAAAGCAUUUGCCAAAAAUGUUUUCAUUAAUCAAGAACGAAAGUUAGAGGUUCGAAGGCGAUCAGAUACCGCCCUAGUUCUAACCAUAAACGAUGCCAGCUAGCGAUCCGCCGAAGUUCCUCCGAUGACUCGGCGGGCAGCUUCCGGGAAACCAAAGCUUUUGGGUUCCGGGGGAAGUAUGGUUGCAAAGCUGAAACUUAAAGGAAUUGACGGAAGGGCACCACCAGGAGUGGAGCCUGCGGCUUAAUUUGACUCAACACGGGAAACCUCACCAGGCCCAGACACCGGAAGGAUUGACAGAUUGAUAGCUCUUUCUUGAUUCGGUGGGUGGUGGUGCAUGGCCGUUCUUAGUUGGUGGAGCGAUUUGUCUGGUUAAUUCCGAUAACGAACGAGACUCUAGCCUGCUAAAUAGGCGUACCUUAUGGUAUCGCGAAGGCCCCCGGCUUCGGCCGGUGGGUUUUUACUACCAACG
Molecule: ribosomal RNA, 831 nt
Filed under: uncultured eukaryote
Lineage: Eukaryota
Description: bacterial SSU rRNA
Rfam family: Eukaryotic small subunit ribosomal RNA
Source: RNAcentral